AUGACAAGUCUCCAUUUUUCAUUUUUUAUGAACAUUCUAUCUGUUCUCACCACUAGGCCCAUGAACAAGGCAGUUCUCUCCGUCCUGUGCCUCGGAGCUCUUCUCCCACAGCUAUGUUCACAGAGACAAAGGACUCCCAGGCCCCGAGGGAUGACGGGGCCACAAAACAGAAGGUACCUGGGUCCCUAAUCAACGAGUAAAGGAAAGCCACCUGUCAACUGGGAACACUUGCGUUGGCCUUUUAGGUGAGGGAGGAGUACCUUCCUAGUGGGCAAAGAUGGUGACAAUGUUGGGUUUGUUUGUUAUAGCAGCUGGUGUCACAAGGACUAAUAAAGCUGUCACGGG
RNAcentral lists this long non-coding RNA (345 nucleotides) under Mustela putorius furo (domestic ferret). Its description in RNAcentral is "lncRNA (ENSMPUG00000028297.1)". The record is from RNAcentral. Lineage: Eukaryota; Metazoa; Chordata; Mammalia; Carnivora; Mustelidae.